GAACGCAGCGAAAUGCGAUACGUAAUGUGAAUUGCAGAAUUCAGUGAAUCAUCGAAUCUUUGAACGCAUAUUGCGCUCUCUGGUAUUCCGGAGAGCAUGCUUGUUUGAGUAUCAGUAAACACCUCAACUCCCCUUUCUUUUUUUGAAAUGGGAGCUGGACUUGAGUGAUCCCAACGCUUUUCUCACCGAAAAGUGGCGGGUUACUUGAAAUGCAGGUGCAGCUGGACUUUUCUCUGAGCUAAAAGCAUAUCUAUUUAGUCUGCCUAAAAAACAGAUUAUUACCUUUGCUGCAGCUAACAUAAAGGAGAUUAGUUCUUGUGCUGACUGAUGCAGGAUUCACAGAGACAGCUUCGGCUGGCCUUUGUAAACUCGAUCUCAAAUCAAGUAAGACUACCCGCUGAACUUAAGCAUAUCAAUAG
This 419-nucleotide ribosomal RNA is filed under the name Mortierella alpina. RNAcentral describes it as "eukaryotic LSU rRNA". The stretch from base 1 to 114 matches the Rfam family "5.8S ribosomal RNA", at positions 41 to 154 of the family's 154-position model. Lineage: Eukaryota; Fungi; Mortierellomycota; Mortierellomycetes; Mortierellales; Mortierellaceae. The record is from RNAcentral.